AAUAAUGACUUCAGAAGUGGGAAUGAUCAAGUUUCUGAUAGCACAAUAAGGUAGCAUAUAUGGUUUCUCUGAUUAUAGGAAAUAAUCGCAUUAUUGGUGCACGUGUACAGUCACUGACUUAUUUUUAGCUCAACCAAGUUUUACUUGGGCUGAUUUCCAGAUGUGUAAUGCCAAAAGUUUGAGGCCAGUGGGGAUGAAUGAAUGGAAAGUAUGGGCGAGACACAGUACUACUACAAUAGACUAUUUCAAAGCUAUUAUUCCUAAAUACAUUUAAAUGCAUGUUUAUUACAAUGAACGUCACGCUAAAGCAACAUGGGAAGCACCUAGGGCUUGAGGCACAACGGUGUUGGUUUGUAUUUGUGUUGUAGGUUAUGAUGGAAAAUUUUAUAGCCUACAAACCGCAUUCAUGUUUUGACGUUUAACGAAUCAAUGUGCAUGUAGAGGUGAUGAAAUACAAACCUGUUUACCGUUGAUGAGAGAUUUUGCAAUGACAGUUUCUUUCAUGGGUGGAUACUGGAUAAGCGUUCCUCUAUUGAAUUGACUUUUAUUUAUAGAGCACUUUUCACAGUAGACUACAUGUUCAAAAGUAGUUUUGCUAAAAAAAGUGCCUUACAAAGAAGAAAAUGUGUUCGGAAGCAACAACACCACCUUGACCAUUUGGAUAAGAGUCAUGCAUAUAACUAUAACAUGAUAGAGUAGUAUUAACUUGUAUUUGAACUUACUGAAAUUGCAAUUGGUUGCUUGCAUCACCAUUAUGAUAGAAGGGGUAAUUUGUAGGUUUGUGACAGCACCAACUGCUGGUCACAAAUAUUAUAGAAAAUUGAAUGAGUCAUUUUCAAAAAAUGGAAAGCUUAAUGACUCGUACAUUAGAGUUUUGCAAUUGGCGUUGCUGCAGAGUGAACCAGAGUGGAAAGACGGUGAAGACAUACAGACCGAAGCAGAAUCAAAACCAUGAAUGCUGUAAAUUGUGUGCAUCUGUUCAUUGUGGUUUGGACUUUUACUGCAGUCUGUCGAGCUGAUGAUGAUGUCUGCAGUGUAAGCUGUGAGGAUUUGACUGGAACUGUGGGUGAAGAAGUAACUUUCACCUGCAGCGUCUCUCAGAAGUGCUCUGAAAGCUGCAUUAACAUUGUAUAAGUUUUCAAUACCACUGAGAUCUAU
Molecule: long non-coding RNA, 1158 nt
Organism: Megalobrama amblycephala (Wuchang bream)
Lineage: Eukaryota; Metazoa; Chordata; Actinopteri; Cypriniformes; Xenocyprididae
Exons: 3
Source: RefSeq, a predicted model, not a curated record